UUAGGGAAUUUUCACACUGGGCGCAAGCCUGAUGGAGUAACGCCGCGUGGGUGAUGACGGCCUUCGGGUUGUAAAGCCCUUUUCUGGGGGACGACAGAAGGACGGUACCCCAGGAAGAAGCCUCGGCUAACUACGUGCCAGCAGCCGCGGUAAUACGUAGGAGGCGAGCGUUGUCCGGAAUUACUGGGCGUAAAGCGCGUGUAGGCGGUCGGAAACGUCGAGGAUGAAAGCCCUCUGCUCAACGGGGGGAGUGUUCACGAAACGGCCCGACUCACUGGAGUCUGGUAGGGGGGUGCGGAAUGGCCGGUGGAGCGGUGAAAUGCGUAGAGAUCGGUCAGAACACCAGUGGCGAAGGCGGCACCCUGGGCCAGAACUGACGCUGAGACGCGAAAGCGUGGGGAGCGAACGGAAUUAGAUACCCCCGUAGUCC
This 430-nucleotide ribosomal RNA is filed under the name uncultured bacterium. RNAcentral's name for it is "bacterial SSU rRNA". It matches the Rfam family "Bacterial small subunit ribosomal RNA", at positions 355 to 796 of the family's 1533-position model. The record is from RNAcentral.